RNAcentral lists this ribosomal RNA (460 nucleotides) under uncultured bacterium. RNAcentral describes it as "partial 16S ribosomal RNA". It matches the Rfam family "Bacterial small subunit ribosomal RNA", at positions 338 to 795 of the family's 1533-position model. The record is from RNAcentral.
CCUACGGGUGGCAGCAGUGAGGAAUAUUGGUCAAUGGGCGCGAGCCUGAACCAGCCAAGUAGCGUGAAGGAUGACUGCCCUACGGGUUGUAAACUUCUUUUAUAAAGGAAUAAAGUGAGGCACGUGUGCCUUUUUGUAUGUACUUUAUGAAUAAGGAUCGGCUAACUCCGUGCCAGCAGCCGCGGUAAUACGGAGGAUCCGAGCGUUAUCCGGAUUUAUUGGGGUUAAAGGGAGCGUAGAUGGGUUGUUAAGUCAGUUGUGAAAGUUUGCGGCUCAACCGUAAAAUUGCAAUUGAUACUGGCAGCCUUGAGUGCAGUUGAGGUAGGCGGAAUUCUUGGUGUAGCGGUGAAAUGCUUAGAUAUCACGAAGAACACUGAUUGCGAAGGCGGCCUACUAAACUGCCACUGACAUUCAUGCUCGAAAGUGUGAGUAGCAAACAGGAUUAGAUACCCUUGUAGUC